Molecule: non-coding RNA, 426 nt
Organism: Prionailurus viverrinus (fishing cat)
Lineage: Eukaryota; Metazoa; Chordata; Mammalia; Carnivora; Felidae
Source: the annotation of a RefSeq genome assembly
AUGGGGAUGGUCAUCCACGGUCUUGACAAUGGAGAUCCGGAACUAUUUUGUGCAGCUUGCGUGAAUCCAGAGGAAUCUUUCCCUAAUUCUGAUGGCAGUGUAGUCGGUGUCCAGUGUGAUGUGCAGCUGGUGGAGGCUGGAGGAGACCUGGUGCAGCCUGGGGGGUCCCUGAGACUCACCUGUGUAGCCUCUGGAUUCACCUUCAGUAGCUAUGGAAUGAGCUGGGUUCGCCAGGCUCCAGGAAAGGGGCUGCAGUGGCUCGCAUAUAUUUAUGAUGAUGGAAGUAGCACAAGCUACGCAGACUCCAUGAAGGGCCGAUUCCCCAUCUCCGGAGAACUCCAAGAACACGCUGUAUCUGCAGAUGAACAACCUGCGGGCGAGGACAAGGCCACAUAUUACUGUGCAAGAGACAAGGAGCAGGUGUAG